Molecule: ribosomal RNA, 493 nt
Filed under: uncultured bacterium
Lineage: Bacteria
Description: partial 16S ribosomal RNA
Rfam family: Bacterial small subunit ribosomal RNA
Source: RNAcentral
AUUGAACGCUGGCGGCAUGCCUUACACAUGCAAGUCGAACGGUAACAGGUUAAGCUGACGAGUGGCGAACGGGUGAGUAAUAUAUCGGAACGUGCCCAGUCGUGGGGGAUAACUGCUCGAAAGAGCAGCUAAUACCGCAUACGACCUGAGGGUGAAAGCGGGGGAUCGCAAGACCUCGCGCGAUUGGAGCGGCCGAUAUCAGAUUAGGUAGUUGGUGGGGUAAAGGCCCACCAAGCCAACAAUCUGUAGCUGGUCUGAGAGGACGACCAGCCACACUGGGACUGGGACACGGCCCAGACUCCUACGGGAGGCAGCAGUGGGGAAUCUUGGACAAUGGGCGCAAGCCUGAUCCAGCCAUGCCGCGUGCGGGAAGAAGGCCUUCGGGUUGUAAACCGCUUUUGUCAGGGAAGAAAAGGUUCUGGUUAAUACCUGGGACUCAUGACGGUACCUGAGGAAUAAGCACCGGCUAACUACGUGCCAGCCGCCGCGGUAA